CCAGGAGGAAGGGGGGACUGUUAGCAGUGUGGAAUUGAGUUGGAAGAGACCUUUAGAACAGCUGGUCAUUAUGUCAACCGGGUGUCCACACUAAGUUCGGCAUCAUUAUGGUGACUUCCUGGGAGCAGGGGACUACCAGGUUGCCUAAGGAUGGGUGAACUGGCCCAGGUCAGAAAUGAAGCAGGUCAGAACUCCCAUGCUGAUCAGUAGUGGGACUGCACCUGGGCAGCACAGCGAGCUCUUGGCUCUUAAAAAAGAAUAAAAU
Unclassified non-coding RNA from Cercocebus atys (sooty mangabey), 265 nucleotides. It matches the Rfam family "Metazoan signal recognition particle RNA". From Rfam's summary of the family: The signal recognition particle (SRP) is a universally conserved ribonucleoprotein. It is involved in the co-translational targeting of proteins to membranes. The eukaryotic SRP consists of a 300-nucleotide 7S RNA and six proteins: SRPs 72, 68, 54, 19, 14, and 9. The record is from Ensembl. NCBI's taxonomy places the organism in Eukaryota, Metazoa, Chordata, Mammalia, Primates, Cercopithecidae.